AGCGCGGUAGAGCAGUGGUAGCUCACUUGGCUCAUAACCAAGAGGUCGUAGGUUCAAGUCCUGCCCGCGCAA
RNAcentral lists this transfer RNA (72 nucleotides) under Paramuribaculum sp. RNAcentral describes it as "tRNA-Met". It matches the Rfam family "tRNA". Rfam says of the family: Transfer RNA (tRNA) molecules are approximately 80 nucleotides in length. The record is from RNAcentral. Lineage: Bacteria; Pseudomonadati; Bacteroidota; Bacteroidia; Bacteroidales; Muribaculaceae.